This 1286-nucleotide long non-coding RNA is filed under the name Triticum aestivum (bread wheat). RNAcentral describes it as "long non-coding RNA (TAES_LNC020108)". The record is from RNAcentral. Lineage: Eukaryota; Viridiplantae; Streptophyta; Magnoliopsida; Poales; Poaceae.
AUUUGUAGUGUGAAAUUUGAUACUUAUAGGACAAUCAUGAUCUGCAUGACAAACUAAGUUCUUCAUGUAGAAUUGUUCAUUGUUUAACUCACAAAUUGACGGAAAGGUUGAAGAAGUGUUUCACAAAUAGAUGUAGUGAGAAGACAAUAUGGCAUCCUCUCAGCGUAGUGGGGUAUGUACUCCCUUUCAGGACUUGACAAACAGCGGCAAUUUAGGUAAAUACUACUUCGACCUUGUAAAUCCUGAAUAUUUCAUUCCCUCACAGGUCAAAAAACAGAUCCAAAAAAUUGAAGAGAUAAAGGGAAAGGGAGAGGUAUGCACUAAACAGGGAUGCAAUAUUAAAAAGAAGACAGGAGGCAAGGGAUCGUAAGAAAGCUACAUCGGCUAUUCUCAAUGGAAACAACACUCCAUCUAAGCCACCCAUGUCCAUGUCGCCUAGUUUCUCUAUUUUCUCUAUUCUUUAUGAUACAUUCGUGAAUAACAAGUAAAGUCAUAUUAAUGAUCAGUUCGUUUGGGCAGAUUUUGACACUGUAGAGAGGCCCAGUGCACCAUCUGUUGUUACCCAGCGUGGGUACACACCGGCUACGGAAGGUGAUGUUUCUCUUGACAAACAUAAUAGCUUCCUUUCCGUGUCAACAAAACUGACACAGUACAUACAUUUGUGAUGUAGGUAUACCUGUUGAUGUCGUAAUGACUGAUCAGACUCCACUUCAUGGUCCAAAUUCAUUAAGAACACCCGUAAAUGUCAACAAUGUCGAGUCUGCCAUUGAGUCCUCCCAACUAACUGGGUUACGACCACCACUUCAAGCCUACAAAUGCAGCAUGUCAUAUGGUAAUCAAUUGUUCCUCAUAUUAUCUAUGAUACAUAAUUGACACUUAGAUCGUACAGAGGAAAAACAACUUCUUCUCAUAUUGCAUUGUCUACUAUACAUAAUUCACACUUAUUCUACAGAAAGAAAAACAAGCACUUAAGAGGGAGAGGGAAAAUGCCCGGUAUGAGCAACAUGAAUAAGGGAUAUUACAGAGCCUACGUGACAAACGGCGUCGAGCCAAAUCUACAGUUGUCCCAACAACCGGAGAACAAACUCAAUCCAGUACAUGUGAUGCCAGCUACAUCAAACACAUGAUAUCCAAUCUUUGAUUUCCUAAUUGAUAGUCACUCAAUAUUUCUGUAGCUGAUGAAGAUUGUGAUUGGCUACACAAAAAUGAUACAUACCAGAUGCAAAACAUUGGAGGGAGGAUGACGCCAGUCAACAUACUCAGUAAGCCGUCGUGUGGACACAAUC